UUGCACUGGCACCCACUCCACUAUCAUUAUUAUUUCAGUUUGUCAGUUCCAGAUCUCCAAGAAGAAAGUCUGAUUAUUCAGCUUGGGACCCUUCUUCUCUCUACUCUCUUUCUCCAACAAAGACACUUCAGUCUGGUUCCCUUGGCUGCCCCAUCUCUAUUUGCCAAUGAGCGUAACUAGGAAUGCAACCUACCAGACUUGGAAUCCCCCUCCACUAUCGCCUCUGCCAACCCCAUACCAACCCCUGAAAGCACUGCCUCUAAGCAUGCGAGGGCCUCCACUCCAAAGGUCGACCCCACACCAGUGUGUAACCGUGACUUUGAGACCAGAACCUCCCUUUUCGCGUUUCUUACUAUAACCCACGAGGUAGAUAUUUUGAGGUAUGAGCCUUCUAACAGUCUUCAUUCCUUAUUUACUCUAAAACAGGUACUCAUUUCCUCUUCCAAUCUGUCCAACUCCUAAAUAUAGUUGAUAAUUAAUUAUGAUACUUUACGCAGAUUGAUUAACUUAGAUCAUAUUUCUUCAUUUCACAUUAAUUAUAAUCAUAAAUGUGAAACAUGUGUUGAGGUAAAACUAAUAAGGUCUUCAUUUUAAUCUGUUGAAAGAAAUACUGAACCACCUGAUCUAAUAUAUAGUGAUAUUUGUGACUUAAAGUUUAAUCAAACUAGAGGAGGGAAUAAAUAUUUUAUUAUCUUUAUUGAUGAUAGCACAAAAUAUUGUUAUGUAUAUUUUCUUAAAAGCAAAGAUGAAGUUAUAGAGAAAUUCGUUCUCUAUAAGUAGGAAGUUAAAACCCAACUUAAUAAAAGAAUUAAGAGGGUGAGAAGUGACCAUGGUGGUGAAUAUGUUGAACCAUUUGGUAAAUUUUGUGCACAACAUGGUAUUAUUUAUGAAGUGACACCACUAUACUCUUCUCAAUCCAAUGGAGUAGUAAAGCAGAAAAA
This is a long non-coding RNA of Gossypium arboreum, 941 nucleotides long. RefSeq lists it as uncharacterized. NCBI's taxonomy places the organism in Eukaryota, Viridiplantae, Streptophyta, Magnoliopsida, Malvales, Malvaceae. The transcript has 2 exons. The record is from RefSeq and is a predicted model, not a curated record.